AUGGCUGGUCCGGCGAAGGCGUCGUGGAUGGUGGCCAUGAGCGUGGGCGCCGUGGAGGCGCUCAAGGAUCAGGCCGGGCUCUGCCGCUGGAACUAUGCCCUCAGGUCCAUCCACCGGGCUGCCAAGGCCAACGUCCGUGGGGGCGCCUCGCAGGGCACCAAGCAGCUUCCGGCCUCCGCGGUGGCUGUGGCGGAGAGGCGGCGAGCGGAGAAGGCCGAGGAGGGGCUGAGGACCGUCAUGUACCUCAGCUGCUGGGGCCCAAAUUAG
RNAcentral lists this ribosomal RNA (267 nucleotides) under Triticum aestivum (bread wheat). RNAcentral's name for it is "partial small subunit ribosomal RNA". Lineage: Eukaryota; Viridiplantae; Streptophyta; Magnoliopsida; Poales; Poaceae. The record is from RNAcentral.